This is a long non-coding RNA of Thalassophryne amazonica, 215 nucleotides long. RefSeq lists it as uncharacterized. NCBI's taxonomy places the organism in Eukaryota, Metazoa, Chordata, Actinopteri, Batrachoidiformes, Batrachoididae. The transcript is spliced from 3 exons. The record is from RefSeq and is a predicted model, not a curated record.
AUGCGUGCCGACAAGGAGGCGUGGCCGCCAUGUUUAAACUGGGCAAAUCAACAGAGCCGGCGCGUUAUUUGCCGCCGCAGUUCAAUGAGUUGCUCAUAGAUCACGGUCAAGAAAAUGCCUGAAAGUUGCGCCUGUUGGCGAUGCUACAAUCGGAGGAAGAAGGGAGAGAACAUUUCCUUCCAUAAGUAAGUAUUCUGCUUUAUAUGUGUGCCAAG